This 449-nucleotide ribosomal RNA is filed under the name uncultured bacterium. Its description in RNAcentral is "bacterial SSU rRNA". It matches the Rfam family "Bacterial small subunit ribosomal RNA", at positions 329 to 794 of the family's 1533-position model. The record is from RNAcentral.
GACCAGACUCCUACGGGAGGCAGCAGUGGGGAAUAUUGCACAAUGGGGGGAACCCUGAUGCAGCAAUGCCGCGUGGGUGAAGAAGCACUCCGGUGCGUAAAGCCCUGUCAGCAGGGAAGAAAAUGACAGUACCUGGACAAGAAGCCCCGGCUAACUACGUGCCAGCAGCCGCGGUAAUACGUAGGGGGCAAGCGUUAUCCGGAUUUACUGGGUGUAAAGGGAGCGUAGACGGUGAGACAAGUCUGAAGUGAAAGCCCGGGGCUCAACCCCGGGACUGCUUUGGAAACUGCCUGACUGGAGUGCUGGAGAGGCAAGCGGAAUUCCUAGUGUAGCGGUGAAAUGCGUAGAUAUUAGGAAGAACACCAGUGGCGAAGGCGGCUUGCUGGACAGUAACUGACGUUGAGGCUCGAAAGCGUGGGGAGCAAACAGGAUUAGAUACCCGGGUAAGA